Molecule: transfer RNA, 76 nt
Filed under: Bacillota bacterium
Lineage: Bacteria; Bacillati; Bacillota
Also listed under: 2 other names
Description: Firmicutes bacterium (anaerobic digester metagenome) tRNA-Val
Rfam family: tRNA
About the family: Transfer RNA (tRNA) molecules are approximately 80 nucleotides in length.
Source: RNAcentral
GGGCGAAUAGCUCAGCUGGGAGAGCACCUGCCUUACAAGCAGGGGGUCACAGGUUCAAGUCCUGUUUCGCCCACCA